CCUACGGGGGGCUGCAGUGGUGAAUUUUGGACAAUGGGGGCAACCCUGAUCCAGCCAUGCCGCGUGCGGGAAGAAGGCCUUCGGGUUGUAAACCGCUUUUGUCAGGGAAGAAAUCUUCCGAGCUAAUACCUUGGGAGGAUGACGGUACCUGAAGAAUAAGCACCGGCUAACUACGUGCCAGCAGCCGCGGUAAUACGUAGGGUGCAAGCGGUGAUCAGAGUUUGUGGGCGUAAAGCGGGAGCACACGGGUGAAAUCCCCGGGCUUAACCUGGGAACUGCACUUGUGACUGUACGGCUGGAGUACGGCAGAGGGGGAUGGAAUUCCGCGUGUAGCAGUGAAAUGCGUAGAUAUGCGGAGGAACACCGAUGGCGAAGGCAGUCCCCUGGGCCUGUACUGACGCUCAUGCACGAAAGCGUGGGGAGCAAACAGGAUUAGAUACCCUGGUAGUC
RNAcentral lists this ribosomal RNA (450 nucleotides) under uncultured bacterium. RNAcentral's name for it is "partial 16S ribosomal RNA". It matches the Rfam family "Bacterial small subunit ribosomal RNA", at positions 338 to 795 of the family's 1533-position model. The record is from RNAcentral.